RNAcentral lists this ribosomal RNA (460 nucleotides) under uncultured bacterium. Its description in RNAcentral is "partial 16S ribosomal RNA". It matches the Rfam family "Bacterial small subunit ribosomal RNA", at positions 338 to 795 of the family's 1533-position model. The record is from RNAcentral.
CCUACGGGAGGCAGCAGUGAGGAAUAUUGGUCAAUGGGCGGAAGCCUGAACCAGCCAAGUAGCGUGCAGGAUGACGGCCCUACGGGUUGUAAACUGCUUUUAUACGGGAAUAACGCGCCUUACGUGUAGGGCUUUGCAUGUACCGUAUGAAUAAGGACCGGCUCAUUACGUGCCAGGAGCCGCGGUAAUACGGAAGGUCCGGGCGUUAUACGGAUUUAUUGGGUUUAAAGGGAGCGUAGGCCCCAUGUCAAGCGUGCUGUGAAAUGUCCGGGCUCAACCCGGGCCUUGCAGCGCGAACUGGCGUGCUUGAGUCCGCGGAAGGCAGGCGGAAUUCGUCGUGUAGCGGUGAAAUGCUUAGAUAUGACGAAGAACCCCGAUUGCGAAGGCAGCUUGCUGCAGCGGAACUGACGCUGAUGCUCGAAAGCGCGGGUAUCGAACAGGAUUAGAUACCCGAGUAGUC